Culex quinquefasciatus (southern house mosquito) is the source of this 994-nucleotide RNA transcript. It is a transcript of the gene named myosin light chain alkali, with no coding region annotated. The record is from RefSeq and is a predicted model, not a curated record. The transcript is spliced from 6 exons. Lineage: Eukaryota; Metazoa; Arthropoda; Insecta; Diptera; Culicidae.
AAUUCGGCUUUGCAGUGGCCAAAUAUAACUCGCACUAGUUUUACAUCGUCGUGAACCGUGGUUUAGAAUCGUUCCUCAGUUGAGUCUACGGCGAUCCGCGAGCUACACAAGAUCACAAUGGCAGACCUGAAGGACGUUGAAGUCGAAAAGGCGAAGUUCGUGUUCUCCGUCUACGAUUGGGAUGGCAGCGGUUCUAUGGAUGCCAUGGACAUCGGACCGGCUCUGCGUGCCCUGAACCUGAACCCAACUCUGGAACUCAUCGGCAAGAUGGGUGGAACCAAGAAGCGCGGAGAGAAGAAGGUCAAGCUGGACGAGUUCCUCCCCAUCUACGCUCAGGUCAAGAAGGAGAAGGACAUGGGUUGCUACGAGGACUUCCUCGAGUGUCUGAAGUUGUACGACAAAGAGGAGAACGGCACCAUGCUGCUGGCUGAGCUGGAGCAUAGCUUACUCGCUCUGGGUGAGAAGCUCGACCGUGAUGAGCUCGACGAUGUCUUCAAGGAUUGCAUGGACCCCGAGGAUGAUGACGGCAACAUCCCAUAUGCCCCCUUCCUGAAGAAAAUGAUGGACAACAUGAUCGUCAUCAACCACUAAACGUUACAUCCAACACCUUUCAAUAACUUAAUUUACCAACAAGUAAUAUGUAAGAGUAUUCCAUUUCUUCAGAGAUUGUGUGACCAUAAACCAUAAGCAUAUUAGACCAAGCUUCUGCAGUUGAUUCUGAUUGCAGAGAAUGUAUGAUGGUUAUAUGAUUUCUUAACAACAAACAAAGAACCACCACCAAACGUCCAGGGAAAUAUACUAUCUGAACGAUUAACAACAUCGACGAAGUAAGAAAGAAAACAAACAUCUGCGUUUUAUCAACAUCAGCACGUUAACAAAUUAAACUUUGAUAAUUUAUAAUGACAUCUAGUAUGGGAGCGGUUAUUAUUAAUUUCUUUUUUAAGUUUUUAAUAAAAGUAUAUGUAUAAAGAGAUUAUAAAAAAUCCCUGGACUA